UACGUAUGGGGCAAGCGUUGUUCGGAAUUACUGGGCGUAAAGGGCGCGCAGGCGGUCGUUCAAGUCAGGCGUGAAAGCCCCGGGCUCAACCUGGGAACAGCGCUUGAGACUGAGCGACUUGAGUUCGGGAGAGGAGAGCGGAAUUCCCAGUGUAGAGGUGAAAUUCGUAGAUAUUGGGAAGAACACCGGUGGCAAAGGCGGCUCUCUGGACCGACACUGACGCUGAGGCGCGAAAGUGUGGGGAGCAAACAGG
Molecule: ribosomal RNA, 253 nt
Filed under: uncultured bacterium
Lineage: Bacteria
Description: partial 16S ribosomal RNA
Rfam family: Bacterial small subunit ribosomal RNA
Source: RNAcentral